Molecule: long non-coding RNA, 1487 nt
Filed under: Rattus norvegicus (Norway rat)
Lineage: Eukaryota; Metazoa; Chordata; Mammalia; Rodentia; Muridae
Description: long non-coding RNA NONRATT019335
Source: RNAcentral
CUGGGCUGAUAUAAAGAAAAACAACACUAGAUUUAGACUUAAAUCAGAUAAAGCCAGCAUUUUGAAAAACAAGAAAAGGUUAGGAGACAGUUCAGUUGACUAUCUAGCUCUUUCAGUUAGACUGAGAUAUAACUACAAAUUGUUUAUGGCUUUUGUUUCAGAAUAGCGUGUGAUUGCUUGUGUCCCAGCCUUAUGUUUUUAAUUUUCACUGGUUGUGUUUUAAUUUGUAGUAGGUAGUGCGGAACAGCUACACUAAGAUUGAAUUGCUGUACUAGUCUGGCAAGCAUGUGAAGUAUACUUCAUGUAAUACUCACUAAGGUACUAUGUGGAAUUGCCAGCACCUACCUUAAAAAGGUUCGACUUAGAUGUGCAAUUUUUACACACUUUAUGCUUCUUCUAUGGCGGUCCAUGUAAAUAUAUAUGGACUUUGAUAGCACUUUAAAAAGAACAAAACAAAAAACAAGCAAACCACGUGGACCUGUCCUAUCUUCUGCCAUUUUUAACGAAUACUUUAUUUAGCAGUUGUCCUGGGAAAUGGGGCAGGAACCAUCAUGUGGAGCUUGUGUCUCCACACUAGACUUUGAUUUCAAGCCGUUGCCUUGGCUAGAAGGAAAACAAUGAAAGGGUAGCCCUCCUUCAUGGUGACCAAAGUCUCCCUUUGUGGGAAGGAAUUGGUGUGGUCUGCCUUCCACGAGAACGUACCGUGAAUAAAACCGAGCCGUGUUGCCAUACUGCAUACUAUUUUCAAGGAAGUUAAGCACUUCUCACAUUUUGUCUUUGAAAAUUCCUGAGUUGGAUGUGGUCAAAUGCUGGUAGUGUCUUUAAGGUUUGAUUAUGCUGCCUUUUCAAGGAAAUAACUAUUUAAAAGAGAUAGUGUAAAACUAAGCCUUUCUGCCUCAAUUCAGAAAUGAUUAGCUAAAAUAUGUCCCCGUUUUCAAUUUUAGUUAAUAGUCUAUGUGAGAACCAUCACACAUCUGUCAUUAUGCAAUGAUUGUUAAAUUAUACGACAAUAGCUCUAGAAAAACAUAUGCUCCGUGCUUGUAUACAAAGACACUGUUAUACACACUUGGUUAAUAUUUUGUCAGUUGUAUUUACAACACAUACUUUCUUAAGAGAAUAUGUUGUUAAUUUUUGAUAUUAUUUUAGAGUCAAAAUUGUAAAGAUGACUGAAUAUUGUAUUUUAGUCUAGAUUAAUUAACUACUUAAAGAGAUUUUUGAGUUUCAAGAAGAUUAUAAAUGAAGGUUAGCAAGACAACAAUGUAUUUUCUGAGUCUCCAAGAGAAGUGAAACAUGUUAUAGUUUUGUAGCUGCUGCCUUGUUAAGCAAAUGAUUAUUAUGAGUCACAAUAUUCAAAAUAUUUUGUUGUGUCAAACUGGACCAGUGCACUAACGCCUUUUACAUUAAAUGUUAUAAGAUGACGUGUCUUUAUAAAGCUAAGUAUUAAAAAUCUAUUAUGUUAAAUAUGAACUGUUUAUUAAAAAGCCAAA